This 1440-nucleotide long non-coding RNA is filed under the name Pelobates cultripes (western spadefoot toad). Lineage: Eukaryota; Metazoa; Chordata; Amphibia; Anura; Pelobatidae. The record is from RNAcentral.
GCAUUUCAGUCACAUUGUGUCUGUAGCAGAGACUCUUCCUAUAACUCUCUCAGGAAUGGAUUAUCACAUCCGACCAGCUGAGCCCAGGGACUCCCCCAACAUUAUGGUCAUGAUCCGGGUACAGUGACACUAUCACACACUGCGUACACUGCACACUGACACUGUCACACACUGCGUACACUGCACACUGACACUGUCACACACUGCGUACACUGCACACUGACACUGUCACACACUGCGUACACUGCACACUGACACAGUCACACACUGCAUACACUGCACACUGACACCGUCACACACUGCGUACACUGCACACUGACACCAUCACACACUGCGUACACUGCACACUGACACCGUCACACACUGCGUACACUGCACACUGACACUGUCACACACUGCAUACACUGACACCGUCACCAACUGCGUACACUGCACACUGACACUGUCACACACUGCGUAUACUGCACACUGACACUGUCACACACUGCAUACACUGCACACUGACACCAUCACACACUGCGUACACUUCACACUGACACCAUCACAUACUGCGUACACUGCACACUGACACUGUCACACACUGCGUAUACUGCACACUGACACUGUCACACACUGCGUACACUGACACUGUCACACACUGCGUACACUGCACACUGACACUGUCACACACUGUGUACACUGCACACUGACACCAUCACACACUGCGUACACUGCACACUGACACCGUCACACACUGCGUACACUGCACAUUGACACUGUCACACACUGCGCACACUUCACACUGACACUGUCACACACUGCGUAUACUGCACACUGACACUGUCACACACUGCGUACACUGACACUGUCACACACUGCGUACACUGCACACUGACACUGUCACACACUGCGUACACUGCACACUGACACCAUCACACACUGCGUAUACUGCACACUGACACUGUCACACACUGCGUACACUGACACUGUCACACACUGCGUACACUGCACACUGACACUGUCACACACUGCGUACACUGCACACUGACACUGUCACACACUGUGUACACUGCACACUGACACUGUCACACACUGCGUAUACUGCACACUGACACUGUCACACACUGCGUACACUGCACACUGACACUGUCACACACUGCACACUGACACCCUCACACACUUUACUCCUUACUGCAUUAUGUGCACUAUGCAGUGACUUUCGGUACACAGUGCAAUGUAUAAUCACUUUAUCUAUUUUAUGUAAUUACAGGAACUGGCAGAAUAUGAAAAAAUUACACACUUUAUCAAACUGACUGAGGAAGGUAAGGAAUGGAAAAAGAGGUUCACUCACAGAUAAUGGGGGUAACAAGAUAAAAAGGGGUUCACUCACAGCGAAUGGGGGUAACAAGAUAAAAAGGGGUUCACUCACAGAGAAUGGGGGUAACAAGAUAAAAAGGGGUU